Molecule: long non-coding RNA, 4109 nt
Organism: Symphalangus syndactylus (siamang)
Lineage: Eukaryota; Metazoa; Chordata; Mammalia; Primates; Hylobatidae
Source: RefSeq, a predicted model, not a curated record
ACAGGAAACACAUACACGUCAUUCUGCCGAAUCAAGUUUUCUUCUUUCACCACUGAGGGCUUUUGUGCAAGGCCAGACAACUGCCCGCCUGCCCGCCCUUCACGAGGCUCACCUCCCCACCACCGGGCACACUCUGCCAACACUCCACCCCUCUCCUCCAUUCACACCCCGUAAUUUAAAAACUGGCAACUUCGACCAUAAAGAUUUGCUGUGAAAGUGAUGUCUACAUAUUUAAAGCAACUUUUAAAACCCCUAUUAACCUGAAGGUUACUGAGGCUGUGAAGUCAAAAGGAAAAUGUAAGAGGCUGCCGAGUUCUCAAAGUGGGAUGAAUAGAAUCAUUCAUGUUCAUCUGGAGAGAAACACGUUUUCCUGUGACUGAAUGCUAAGAGAAGUAUAUUAGAAGUCUCUUUUUCUAAAAGUUCAUAAGGUAGCAUAACACAUAAUAUAGUGCUUUUUUGCAAAGAAAAUGAAAAGCAUUACAAAAAUAUACCUUUCUCAUGCCAGUCUUCCAUAAAUGCUAAGGUCAUAACUGAAUUUAGAUUUUAUGUAAUGGUUUUGGGGGUAAUGAAAAUAAUUUGAUGGAGUAUAUUAUUUUUUGAUGCUCAAAAACCAAAUACAGUGAAAAGAGUUUGAGAGUCUUGUCUAUAUGUGAAAUUUAAUAUUUUGCUUAGACUGAGCCUCCCUCUUGCAUUAGAUAUACUUGAAGUGGGCUUUUUUGGCUAGUGCUAGAUCUCCAUAAGUUUGAAUUUUCAGAUGAGUGUUAAAGUAAUAAAAUGUUCUGCCAUUGGUUCAAAGAGGCUUAGAAUAUUAGGGAUGUCGGCAGGAAUGUUGACAUCCCACUGUGAAAAGCAUUUUUCUCUUCUUAGUGGAACUCUCACUGUUGCACACUUCUUCUGAUUAGAUAAUGGAGGAGACCAGAUUUUGAGAGCACAUGAGUUAGUCUUAAGCCCUCUAAAAAAAAAGUAAAUCUCAAGUAUCUUUCCUAGCAUUGCUAAGGAUGAUUAAAGAUUAUAGCACAAGGUCAUUAGGCAUUAAACGAUUCUGAGGCCCAGUGUUGUUUGUUUCUUUCCCAGAGAGUGGAAUAAUUACUGAUUAAAGCAUGGGGUCUCAACUCUCAAUGUGUUUGCAGAUGGUCAGGGAAUAAAACUCUGAACUAUUAUUUCAGCAGAAAUAAUGUUUUAUAUAUGUUCAUUAUGAAUAAGAACAAAGCCUUAAAAAUUUGGUUGAUCUUUUGCCCCAAAAUCACUUGGCAAUGCUUGCUAAAAAACAGAAAAUAACUCAUGUAAAUACUAAAAUCUCUAUUUUAAACAAAACUUCCGGGUGACUUAUAUACAGGAGUCUUUGUGGACACUUUGAGAAAUAAUGGAUGAGAAUGGUAACCUUAUAUUUAAUGGAUUGACUGGUCAUUUUGGCUGUGUGGACGCCCAGUUAAAGUGUAAUGACUAAGGUCAUCUGUAAAGACUGAUUUUAAUAAUCUCCUUACAAUUUUACUUGAAGGGAGUUAUCCAUGUUAAUCUCCAGGCAUGAAAUGUAAUGAUCUGUUUUAUUAUUGUUAAUUUAUGCUCAAGCUUCCUUUUGCUCUUCUUUUUAACCAACAUAACAAUUAUACAGUCUAACUAUUUGCCUCAGGGUGAUGCUGUAAUAGGACUAAUUAAAUAUUUAAUAUUUUAAAGGACUUAAACAAUCUUGUAAGUAAUAUGUUAAGAGGAGAUAAAAUCAUGAUGAUCUCCUUAGUAGGAGGAAUAUUAAUGAAGCACUGGGGUCAGGCAUUCCUUUAAUGCCCAUGUCCUGUAUCUGUCAGAGGCUGAAUGGUUUAAUGGUUAAAUAAAUGACUGUUGUAACCUAUGGCAGUUCUUCUACUUCCUAGUUGGAAAGCCUAGAACAAAUUUUUUAACCUUUCUAUGCCAAUCUCAUAUUUCUCACCUUUAGAGUGAGGUGAUAAGAAUACCACCUACCUUUUUGGACUGUUGUGAUGACAUAUAAGGUAUGUGUCUAUCGAAAGAAAGUGGUUUUUAUUAAUAUGAAUUAAUCCCAUAACUAUUGGUAUUACAAUAUCAAUUCAAUACAAGUAUUGAAUUCAAAACUUGUAGGUUCUUAUUUUAAAACUAGCAAUAAAAUGGAUAUGUACUUUUAGCUCUAAUCUCAAAUUUAGAAAGAAGGAAAAGGGAGGACGAAAAAGAGGAAGAAAAGGAGUAGGAGAAUAUCUCUAAAAUCAACCCCAAACAGGGGCUAAAGACAAAGAGAAAGUGAUCAUUGUGCAGAAGAUGAAGACUCAUUGUAGGUAUGUAUAGUAAAUGUAAAACUGACCUCACUGAUCUAGAAAAAUAAUAGAAUCAUCAAAUGUCAGAGCACACAGAUUAUAAGGAAAAUGCAUUUUUUUUAGGUCAAGGGUUAGUGAAUAAAUCUGAAUCAGCAGAAAGUUUUCAUUAUGACUUUUUAGAAAAUGAUAUCUUGUUUUUUCAAAGCUCAUACAGAAAAAUAACUAGACUAACAAAAAUUUCGAAAAAGUUGUUCUUUUGAAACGAGGUCAGGAUUAAUUGAAUACGCAUUUUAAAUACAUUAACUGUCACAUCUAAAUAUUUUUGAAAACUUGUUUCUCCUAUUUACUAGAUGGCUUUGAAGGUUUUCCCUUUACAACUAAAGAUGUUUUCUAAACUGCUUUCUAAUGGAGUCUAAAUAUAAAAUUCAUCCAGAUGAUUUUUCUUGAUUUUAUGAAUUCCAAAUCUGGUGGGCGUUGCAAAUAAUGAGAUUUUGUUGUACAUUCCAAGUUCACCGGCCUUAUAAUGAACUUCAUAUUCUAUGGGCAAACGGGCAAGAGGAGCAGUGUUCCCAAUGCCAUUCAUUCAACAAGUAUUUAUGAUUGCGAUUGUGUGCUAGGCCAUUCAUAAGAAGAAGGAAUGAACUUACAUUUUCUUAGCUGUGCAUUUUGUUAUCAUUUUAAUGCCCCAUCAGCAAGUGUUCUUCAUUAAUUCUUAAGCAUUUAUUAACUAUAUGUUGGAGUUAUAAGAAGUUUUUAAAAAUCAGGAUGAGGUUCCACUUUCCUUUCUUCUAGGACAGGUACAGCUGACCUUCAAUGUUCAUGGAUUCAAUUUUUGAUAAUUUUCCUACUUGCUAAAAUUUAUUUGUAACUCCCCUCCUCCAAUCAAUACUUGUGGUACUUUUGUAGUCAUUCAUAGACAUGUACAGAAUGGUGAAAAUUUUGGUGGGCCAUUCACAUGUUCCCAGCUGAGGCUUAAGCAAGUGAUGCUGCCUUCUUGAUUCAGCUUUCCUACUAUAAGUGUGUGUUUUUACUUGGUGUAUUUAGUGUCAUGUUUUUUGCGGUUUUUCUUUUGCUUUUCUUUGGAGAUUUAGAAUGAUCCCUAAGCAUAGACAACUGGAGUGCUGCCUAGUGUUCCUAAGUGCGAGAAGGCUGUGAUGUGUCUUACGGAGGAAAUAUGUGUUAGAUAAGCUUUGUUCAGAUAUGUUGGCCAUGAUUUCUAUGUUAAUAAGUCAACAAUACGUAUUUUAAAAGGUGUCCUUAUACUGAAACACACAUAAGACAACAUUAUGUUUUGAUUGGUUGACAAAAAUGUUGUGACCAGAGGCUUGCAGGAAUUGAACCAUCUAUUUCUCCUAAGAGUAAUGGUUCAGCAUUUGCGAAUUCAGUGUUUGUAGUGACUUUAUAGAACAUAACUAUCAUGAAUAACAAGAAUCAAUUGUAUUUGAAAUUUGGGGAGAUUUUAAUAAAUACUUAUUCACUAAAUUGUCCCUUUUAAUGUAAACGAAGAUGCAUGAUUUUUUUCUGACCUGUAAGCAACUAGUAAGUAAAUACAGAGGGGUGGAAAAAUGAAAAUUAUAUAUAGGGCUAAACCAUAAUUUUUGUUUUUUUCUUUCUAAACUUAAAAAAAUAAAAACUUCUGCUAAAAAACAAUGUAAUAAACCUGGAGGGGUUCGAAGUCUAGAAACAAUUUGCAAUGUGAUGGAAUCUUGUUUGUUAGUAGUGAUUUGUCUGCCCUAUGCCUAGCAUAGUUUCUAACUUAUAUGGAGUGCUCAAGGUAUUUUAAAAAAUAAAAAUAAAUUGCAUUGAAUCAGUCAUAAACUGACACUGAAAUAGCCUUGAGAGUGAAAA